RNAcentral lists this ribosomal RNA (1383 nucleotides) under uncultured bacterium. Its description in RNAcentral is "bacterial SSU rRNA". It matches the Rfam family "Bacterial small subunit ribosomal RNA", at positions 18 to 1395 of the family's 1533-position model. The record is from RNAcentral.
CCUGGCUCACGUUGAACGCUAGCUACAGGCUUAACACAUGCAAGUCGAGGGGCAUCAGGAAGAAAGCUUGCUUUCUUUGCUGGCGACCGGCGCACGGGUGAGUAACACGUAUCCAACCUGCCCUUUACUCGGGGAUAGCCUUUCGAAAGAAAGAUUAAUACCCGAUAGUAUAAUGAUUCCGCAUGGUUUCAUUAUUAAAGGAUUCCGGUAAAGGAUGGGGAUGCGUUCCAUUAGGUUGUUGGUGAGGUAACGGCUCACCAAGCCUUCGAUGGAUAGGGGUUCUGAGAGGAAGGUCCCCCACAUUGGAACUGAGACACGGUCCAAACUCCUACGGGAGGCAGCAGUGAGGAAUAUUGGUCAAUGGGCGCGAGCCUGAACCAGCCAAGUAGCGUGAAGGAUGACUGCCCUAUGGGUUGUAAACUUCUUUUAUAUUAGAAUAAAGUGCAGUAUGUAUACUGUUUUGUAUGUAUAAUAUGAAUAAGGAUCGGCUAACUCCGUGCCAGCAGCCGCGGUAAUACGGAGGAUCCGAGCGUUAUCCGGAUUUAUUGGGUUUAAAGGGAGCGUAGGUGGACUGGUAAGUCAGUUGUGAAAGUUUGCGGCUCAACCGUAAAAUUGCAGUUGAUACUGUCAGUCUUGAGUACAGUAGAGGUGGGCGGAAUUCGUGGUGUAGCGGUGAAAUGCUUAGAUAUCACGAAGAACUCCGAUUGCGAAGGCAGCUCACUGGACUGCAACUGACACUGAUGCUCGAAAGUGUGGGUAUCAAACAGGAUUAGAUACCCUGGUAGUCCACACAGUAAACGAUGAAUACUCGCUGUUUGCGAUAUACAGUAAGCGGCCAAGCGAAAGCAUUAAGUAUUCCACCUGGGGAGUACGCCGGCAACGGUGAAACUCAAAGGAAUUGACGGGGGCCCGCACAAGCGGAGGAACAUGUGGUUUAAUUCGAUGAUACGCGAGGAACCUUACCCGGGCUUAAAUUGCAGUGGAAUGAUGUGGAAACAUGUCAGUGAGCAAUCACCGCUGUGAAGGUGCUGCAUGGUUGUCGUCAGCUCGUGCCGUGAGGUGUCGGCUUAAGUGCCAUAACGAGCGCAACCCUUAUCUUUAGUUACUAACAGGUCAUGCUGAGGACUCUAGAGAGACUACCGUCGUAAGAUGUGAGGAAGGUGGGGAUGACGUCAAAUCAGCACGGCCCUUACGUCCGGGGCUACACACGUGUUACAAUGGGGGGUACAGAAGGCAGCUACCUGGUGACAGGAUGCUAAUCCCAAAAGCCUCUCUCAGUUCGGAUCGAAGUCUGCAACCCGACUUCGUGAAGCUGGAUUCGCUAGUAAUCGCGCAUCAGCCACGGCGCGGUGAAUACGUUCCCGGGCCUUGUACACACCGCCC